RNAcentral lists this unclassified non-coding RNA (329 nucleotides) under uncultured fungus. RNAcentral describes it as "sequence contains ITS1". The stretch from base 1 to 104 matches the Rfam family "5.8S ribosomal RNA", at positions 50 to 154 of the family's 154-position model. Lineage: Eukaryota; Fungi. The record is from RNAcentral.
GAAUCGCGAUAGGAAUUGCGAAUUGCAGAAUUCAGUGAAUCAUCGUAACUUUGAACGCAAACUGCGCUUGGGGGUUGACCCCGAGCAUGCCUCUUUGAGUGUCGGUCAAUCCAUCCUGCUGGUUUUCCACAGGGCAGUGAGAGUCCUUUGAGUCUCUUGAAGUUCGCAGCUCCCGUGAGGGAAGCAGAUUGCGGCUGGCGCGAGGUCAGAGCGCGUGGAGAUGGCAUUUUCACAAGCGACCGAGCGCGGCGGCGUCUGCGUGCUUCGUGUGCCGCAAGACACACCCGACCAUCGACCUCAAAUGAGGUAGGAUUACCCGCUGAACUUAA